GAACAUGAAUGUGAUCUGGCUGAGGUAUCUGUCACCCAUUGACAGAUACCACUAGCCAGAAAUGAUUAGUAGGGCUCUCUUUCAUCCCUCACAGUUCCAUGUGUAUCCCUCCUGUGGCUGCAUACUUAGGAGAAGGGUACCACCACUUCAGCCAAGGGGUAUAUGAGAGAUGUAUCCUUCUGCUAGAAUCUCCAAACAAGUUCAUGGUCCAUUGAACACCAGGGAAGCUGUCCUACCAAGUUUCUGAUUAAUAAAGAAAAGUCUGCAGGGCAGAGGGUGACUCU
Molecule: small nuclear RNA, 284 nt
Filed under: Notechis scutatus (mainland tiger snake)
Lineage: Eukaryota; Metazoa; Chordata; Lepidosauria; Squamata; Elapidae
Description: 7SK RNA (ENSNSUG00000011346.1)
Rfam family: 7SK RNA
About the family: 7SK was discovered as an abundant small nuclear RNA in the mid-70s but a possible function has only recently been suggested. Two independent studies have found that 7SK RNA binds the CDK9/cyclin T complex (known as elongation factor P-TEFb). P-TEFb activates transcription by phosphorylating the C-terminal domain of RNA polymerase II.
Source: Rfam by way of RNAcentral